Molecule: ribosomal RNA, 429 nt
Filed under: Pseudomonadota bacterium
Lineage: Bacteria; Pseudomonadati; Pseudomonadota
Description: Proteobacteria bacterium partial 16S ribosomal RNA
Rfam family: Bacterial small subunit ribosomal RNA
Source: RNAcentral
UGGGGAAUAUUGGACAAUGGGCGAAAGCCUGAUCCAGCCAUGCCGCGUGUGUGAAGAAGGUCUUCGGAUUGUAAAACACUUUAAGUUGGGAGGAAGGGCAGUAAGCGAAUACCUUGCUGUUUUGACGUUACCGACAGAAUAAGCACCGGCUAACUCUGUGCCAGCAGCCGCGGUAAUACAGAGGGUGCAAGCGUUAAUCGGAAUUACUGGGCGUAAAGCGCGCGUAGGUGGUUCGUUAAGUUGAAUGUGAAAGCCCCGGGCUCAACCUGGGAACUGCAUCCAAAACUGGCGAGCUAGAGUAGGGCAGAGGGUGGUGGAAUUUCCUGUGUAGCGGUGAAAUGCGUAGAUAUAGGAAGGAACACCAGUGGCGAAGGCGACCACCUGGGCUCAUACUGACACUGAGGUGCGAAAGCGUGGGGAGCAAACAGG